CGCCGCACCCGCCGCCGCCGCACCCGCUGCCGCCGCCGCAUCCGCCGCACCCGCCGCACCCUUCCCACGCUCAGCUGAUGCAGGGCGAAAACAAAAUGGGUCCUCCCGGCAUGCCGCCGCAUGCGCCGCCGCCGCCGCCAGGCGCGGGCCCGGCGGGCGCCGCGGGCGG
This is a long non-coding RNA of Ostrinia furnacalis (Asian corn borer), 169 nucleotides long. RefSeq lists it as uncharacterized. The record is from RefSeq and is a predicted model, not a curated record. The transcript is spliced from 3 exons. Lineage: Eukaryota; Metazoa; Arthropoda; Insecta; Lepidoptera; Crambidae.